This 764-nucleotide ribosomal RNA is filed under the name Bdelloidea sp. MS-2017. RNAcentral's name for it is "SSU rRNA". It matches the Rfam family "Eukaryotic small subunit ribosomal RNA", at positions 412 to 1184 of the family's 1831-position model. The record is from RNAcentral. Lineage: Eukaryota; Metazoa; Rotifera; Eurotatoria.
ACAUCCAAGGAAGGCAGCAGGCGCGCAAAUUACCCACUCUCAAAACGAGGAGGUAGUGAAGAGAAAUAACGAUGUUAGUCUUUUAUAGGCUGACAAUCGGAAUGGGAACACUGUAAACAGGUUAUCGAUUAACAAUUGGAGGGCAAGUCUGGUGCCAGCAGCCGCGGUAAUUCCAGCUCCAAUAAGGAAAACUAAAGUUGCUGUGUUUAAAAAGCUCGUAGUUGAAUUUCGGGUAUUUGUUGCUAGCUGGUCUUACUGGCCAUGUUGGUUAACAGAUCCUCAUUUGCUGGACGGCUGGCGAUGAUCUUUAUCGAUUGUCGUUAGUUGCCAGAACGUUUACUUUGAGAAAAUUAGAGUGCUAAAAGCAGGCUCACGCCUAUAUAUAUUGCAUGGAAUAAUGAAAUAAGAUCUCGAUUUUAUUUCGUUGGUUUUAGAAAUUGAGAUAAUGAUUAAUAGGAUCAGAGGGGGGCGUACGUACUGUGGUGUGAGAGGUGAAAUUCUUGGAUCGCCACAGGACGAACAGCAGCGAAGGCGUUCGCCAAGAAUGUUUUCAUUAAUCAAGAACGAAAGUUUGAGGUUCGAAGACGAUUAGAUACCGUCCUAGUUCAAACCAUAAACGUUGCCAACUGUCUUUUAGAUGCGGUUAUUUACAUGACUCAUCUGGCGGAUCUCGAGAAAUCUAAGUUUUUAGGUUCCGGGGGAAGUAUGGUUGCAAAGCUGAAACUUAAAAGAAUUGACGGAAGGACACACAAGAAGUGGAGCCU